This 476-nucleotide ribosomal RNA is filed under the name uncultured bacterium. Its description in RNAcentral is "partial 16S ribosomal RNA". It matches the Rfam family "Bacterial small subunit ribosomal RNA", at positions 28 to 523 of the family's 1533-position model. The record is from RNAcentral.
GAUGAACGCUGGCGGCGUGCUUAACACAUGCAAGUCGAGCGAGAGAGUUCUUCGGAACAAUCUAGCGGCGGACGGGUGAGUAACACGUGGGCAACCUGCCUCAUAGAGGGGAAUAGCCUUCCGAAAGGAAGAUUAAUACCGCAUAACAUCGUUGAAGGGCAUCCUUCGAUGAUCAAAGGAGCAAUCCGCUGUGAGAUGGGCCCGCGGCGCAUUAGCUAGUUGGUGAGGUGACGGCUCACCAAGGCGACGAUGCGUAGCCGACCUGAGAGGGUGAUCGGCCACAUUGGGACUGAGACACGGCCCAGACUCCUACGGGAGGCAGCAGUGGGGAAUAUUGCACAAUGGGGGAAACCCUGAUGCAGCAACGCCGCGUGAGUGAUGACGGCCUUCGGGUUGUAAAGCUCUGUCUUUGGGGACGAUAAUGACGGUACCCAAGGAGGAAGUCACGGCUAACUACGUGCCAGCCGCCGCCGUAA